CGAUGAAACUUUAACAGAACCCUUCGGGGCGAAGAUAAAGUGGAUUAGCGGCGGACGGGUGAGUAACACGUGAGUAACCUGCCUUAGACAUUGGGAUAGCCUCGGGAAACCGGGAUUAAUACCAAAUAAAAUCAUAAUGACACAUGUCAUAACGAUCAAAACUCCGGUGGUCUAAGAUGGACUCGCGUCCCAUUAGCUAGUUGGUAGAGUAAAAGCCUACCAAGGCGACGAUGGGUAGCCGACCUGAGAGGGUGAACGGCCACAUUGGAACUGAGAAACGGUCCAAACUCCUACGGGAGGCAGCAGUGGGGAAUAUUGCACAAUGGAGGGAACUCUGAUGCAGCGACGCCGCGUGAACGAAGAAGGCUUUCGAGUCGUAAAGUUCUUUUAUAUGGGAAGAUAAUGACGGUACCAUAAGAAAAAGCCCCGGCUAACUAC
This 438-nucleotide ribosomal RNA is filed under the name uncultured Peptoniphilus sp. RNAcentral's name for it is "bacterial SSU rRNA". It matches the Rfam family "Bacterial small subunit ribosomal RNA", at positions 54 to 504 of the family's 1533-position model. Lineage: Bacteria; Bacillati; Bacillota; Tissierellia; Tissierellales; Peptoniphilaceae. The record is from RNAcentral.